This 396-nucleotide ribosomal RNA is filed under the name Triticum aestivum (bread wheat). RNAcentral describes it as "partial small subunit ribosomal RNA". The record is from RNAcentral. Lineage: Eukaryota; Viridiplantae; Streptophyta; Magnoliopsida; Poales; Poaceae.
AUGCCGGCCUUGCCGGAUGCGGCCGUGCUGGCCUUCUACCUCGCCGACGGCUUCGCCAAGAUCCUGGUGCCGCUCCUCUGCUUCCUCGGCAGCGCCGGGCCGUCCACCCGCAGCCCCGCCGUCGACGACGCGGCCGCCUUCCUCCUCCUCCUCCUCCCGACGGUCUACCUCGCCGGCGUCAUCCUCGCCCACUUCGUCGGCGUCGUCCUCGCCCACCUCCACCUGGCCACCAUAACUGCGGCUUCCGCCGGUCCGGCGCGGCUCGUCGCUCUGCUCUUCACGCUCUUCUCCAUGCUACUUCUCCUCAUUGCUGUGCCGUUCGCCGCCGUCUACGUCUUCCUCGGCGCCGGCAAGCGCGGGACUGGGCCGGGGUUCAGCGAGAACGUGCUCAGCUAA